AUUAUCAACCCUCAAGCCUUUGCUUGCUGUUGGACCUCUUGUCGGUGAAACGACAGGUCUCAAAGAUAAUGACGGUGCCAGUCGGACCCUAGAUGCAACGAGCUUUUUUAGCACGCAUUAUAAGGGACCAGCUUGCCCGGUCUUAAACUAUAAUCUUCAAGGUUGACCUCGGAUCAGGUAGGAAUACCCGCUGAACUUAA
RNAcentral lists this unclassified non-coding RNA (200 nucleotides) under soil metagenome. RNAcentral describes it as "partial contains internal transcribed spacer 2 and large subunit ribosomal RNA". The record is from RNAcentral.